UGGGGAAUAUUGGACAAUGGGCGCAAGCCUGAUCCAGCCAUGCCGCGUGAGUGAUGAAGGCCCUAGGGUUGUAAAGCUCUUUCACCGGUGAAGAUAAUGACGGUAACCGGAGAAGAAGCCCCGGCUAACUUCGUGCCAGCAGCCGCGGUAAUACGAAGGGGGCUAGCGUUGUUCGGAAUUACUGGGCGUAAAGCGCACGUAGGCGGACAUUUAAGUCAGGGGUGAAAUCCCGGGGCUCAACCCCGGAACUGCCUUUGAUACUGGGUGUCUAGAGUUCGAGAGAGGUGAGUGGAAUUCCGAGUGUAGAGGUGAAAUUCGUAGAUAUUCGGAGGAACACCAGUGGCGAAGGCGGCUCACUGGCUCGAUACUGACGCUGAGGUGCGAAAGCGUGGGGAGCAAAACAGGAUUAGAUACCCUGGUAGUCCACGCCGUAAACGAUGGAAGCCAGCUGUCGGCAAGUUUACUUGUCGGUGGCGCAGCUAACGCAUUAAGCUUCCCGCCUGGGGAGUACGGUCGCAAGAUUAAAACUUAAA
Molecule: ribosomal RNA, 533 nt
Filed under: uncultured bacterium
Lineage: Bacteria
Description: partial 16S ribosomal RNA
Rfam family: Bacterial small subunit ribosomal RNA
Source: RNAcentral